Molecule: long non-coding RNA, 1434 nt
Filed under: Homo sapiens (human)
Lineage: Eukaryota; Metazoa; Chordata; Mammalia; Primates; Hominidae
Description: HSALNT0357373
Source: RNAcentral
GGAGCUGUUAUCACUGCAGAACCAAGGUCACCUGUGGAAGCUCCUUGCUGAAGCCAGUUUUCUAUCAGAUCAUCCAUCAGGCCUAGCAGUCCCUUUUGUACAGACCACACAACUGGUGCCAAUGGCGUCGCUGCCUGACUUUAAACUGUCCUGCCACUAGGAACCCUCACUGUCCAGCUCCAUAGUGCAACCAGAAGGAGGUGAGGUUUUGGCAUCUUCAGGGAGUAUCCUCAGUCUUCCUAUGUUUUGGAAUGAGUUCCAUUUCGCUGCAAAAAGAGGAGCUUCUGGGAUGAUAAAAUGAGGCAUAUCCUGCACCACUACAUGUGUCCAUACAUGAUCUGAGCAGGAAGAGCAGUGGACAAGGAGUCUGGAAUGCUGGCUCAAGUUCUGAGUCAGCCACAGCCUGCUGUGUGACUCUGAGUGAGUCACUAAGCUUCCCUGGAUUCAGUUUCCUCAACAGUCAAAUUUCUAUGGCCUUUUGGGCACCACCAUGCAUGAGAACACAAAGAGAGCAUGAUUACUCAGGGGUGUGUGCAUGUGUGAGGUUGAUUUCUUUAGGUCCCCACCACCCACCAUGAGAUUGGACAAGUCUAGUGGGAAGUGGUCUAGAGGUGAUGGAUCUUCUAGGAUUGCAAUCAGAGCUGGCUUCAUGAGUGUGCACAGGGGUCCCACACAUGAAUGAGUACUUUCCUUCACUGUCUUAAAAUUCUUAAUAGUGUUUGAACAAGGGAUUAGAUAGAUCAAACAAGGCAAGGAGAACUCAAGAAAGUCUGGUCACUUCAGUGAGUGUUGGUGUGUGAGGAGAAUCAAGUGAGAAGUGCUUUUAGAAACAUCCAUGCAGGUAUGAAGGAGCUCUAACAUGCCAGGCCCAUCAAUGAGAGAGACAACAUUUAGAUAGGAGUACUGGACAUUUGAAAAUUCUUACACCCUGUGAUGUGACAUGGAGAAGUGACCAACACAACUUUGCCAACUAUACUCCAUUCUUAGUAACUGCCGAUUAGGAAGGAUUUCUUUCUAAGUCUGUCACUAAUUCAACUGUUAUUCACAAGAGAAGUAGAGGCAAAUGAUAGCAGCUUGAUCGUUGAUUUUUGAUUUAGAUGAUCAAUGAUGUUCAGAAUAGUGUUUGUAUGUGUGAGCAUGGAUGUGUAUGUCGUGUGUGUGUCUGUGUAUGUGGUGUGUGUGUCUGUGUAUAUUGUGUGUGUGUGUGUGCAUGCGUGUGUGCAGGGUAGGUAUCACCACAUUCCCUGUGGUGGUGUGUCUCUUCUCUGGGAUUGGUUCUUCUAGAAUCUCCCACCUUUUAGAACCACUUUAAGAUAUUUAUUUAUUCUCUCCAACCAUCCUGGCAAUCUUUUUAUCCUUAAACAGGAAUAAAUUCCUACAGCUGAAUCUAUUCAGGAUUUCUGUGUGUAUGUGUGAAAAUUUAUAUGAUGCUCA